Molecule: small nucleolar RNA, 132 nt
Organism: Vicugna pacos (alpaca)
Lineage: Eukaryota; Metazoa; Chordata; Mammalia; Artiodactyla; Camelidae
Source: Ensembl
UUGGCCCUGAAUCAAGGCCAGCAGCUUGCUGAAGCUGUUCGUUUCAAGCAGGAGCCAAAAGAGUCUUUAUGGUCUGUUGGCCAUUUCAGAACUUUGGAAAUGUAAUGGGCAAUUCAUUAGAAAGAAAGAUCU